Molecule: long non-coding RNA, 434 nt
Organism: Schistocerca nitens (vagrant locust)
Lineage: Eukaryota; Metazoa; Arthropoda; Insecta; Orthoptera; Acrididae
Exons: 3
Source: RefSeq, a predicted model, not a curated record
CUCAUCAUGAAGGAAAGUGUCCACAGCUGUGAAACAAGUUAAAAUAUACAUUUACAAAGUGAAGCAACUGUUAGAAACUGCAUUUGGAGUUAAUUAGUUUUACAUUGCUGUGAACUUUCUCAAGCACGUUAACUGUUGGGCUGAAAGCAGACGUGUGCGGCUCGACCCUAUGACAUUAUCGAGCUAUUCAUUUUAAACAGAGCCGUACAUAGCCCAGUUAUCUAAAGUGCGAGCAACAUCUGGCAAAGUCGCAGUUGGUUUGCCCAUAUGGGACGCUGGUUAAAGAAGCUUCUUAUCAGAACAGCCAUCAGUGGGGCUUGGCGGAGGCGGGAGCGGAAAAACGAAUCUUCAGGCCCAGACGAGAAAACCAUCACAGGACCCUAUCGACAAAGAAUCGACAUCCGUGUGCCAAGAUACCCCGAAGCAACUCACCA